AUGAGGCUUCGUCAUGGAGCACCAGUUGCUCUGUCCGUGCUCGUGCUGCUGUGCGUCCAUGGAGGACAAGAAGCGGAGGCUGCGGGAGGCGGGUUCGUGAGGGCGCAGGGCACCCGCUUCGUCAUCAACGGCAGCCCCUACUACGCCAACGGCUUCAACGCCUACUGGCUCAUGACCAUGGCCGCCGACCCCGCGCAGAGGGGCAAGGUCACCUCCGCGCUCAGCCAGGCCGCGGCCCGCGGCCUCUCCGUCGCCAGAACCUGGGCCUUCAGCGACGGCGGCAGCAAUGCGCUGCAGUACGCCCCCGGCAGCUACAACGAGAACACCUUCAAGGGGUUGGAUUUUGUGCUGUCUGAGGCUAGGAAGAAUGGGAUUAAGGUGAUACUGAGCCUUGUGAACAACUACGACACUUUUGGAGGGAAGAAGCAGUAUGUAGAGUGGGCAAGAGGGCGGGGGCAGGCCGUCGGAUCUGAAGAUGACUUCUUCACCAACUCUCUUGUCAAGGGCUUCUACAAGAACCAUGUCAAGACGGUGCUGACGAGGGUGAACACGGUGACCGGGGUGGCGUACAAGAACGACCCGACGAUCCUGGCGUGGGAGCUGAUGAACGAGCCCCGGUGCCAGUCCGACCUCUCCGGGCGGACCAUCCAGUCGUGGAUCAGGGAGAUGGCGGCGCACGUCAAGUCCAUCGACGGCAACCACAUGCUGGAGGCCGGCCUGGAGGGCUUCUACGGCGCGUCCUCGUCCCGGGCCGCCUCCGUGAACCCGGCCGGGCGCCAGGUGGGCACCGAUUUCAUCGCCAACAACCAGGUCCCCGGCAUCGACUUCGCCACCGUGCACUCGUACCCGGACCAGUGGCUGUCGAGCUCCGACGACCAGGCGCAGCGGAGCUUCCUGGGCAGGUGGCUGGACGCGCACAUCGCGGACGCGCAGGGGACGCUGCGCAAGCCGCUGCUGAUCGCCGAGUUCGGCAAGUCGCAGAGGGACCCCGGGUUCAGCAGCGCCCAGCGGGACGCGCAGUUCGGCAUGGUCUACGCCAAGAUCUACGAGUCAGCGCGGAGGGGCGGCCCCACGGUGGGCGGGCUCUUCUGGCAGCUCAUGGCCGACGGCAUGGACUCCUACGGGGACGGCUACCAGGUCAUCUUCGCGGAGGCGCCGGCGUCCACCACCGGCGUCAUCACGGCGGAGAGCCGCAAGCUCAAGAUGCUCGGCAAGGCGUUCGCGCGGGCCGAGCGCGCCAAGCGGGACGCGGGCGGGAAGGUCACCGGUGGCAAUUAG
This 1278-nucleotide ribosomal RNA is filed under the name Triticum aestivum (bread wheat). Its description in RNAcentral is "partial small subunit ribosomal RNA". The record is from RNAcentral. Lineage: Eukaryota; Viridiplantae; Streptophyta; Magnoliopsida; Poales; Poaceae.